CCUAAAGUCUCGUAAAGCGGCACGACGUUGGUUCACCAACCGCCAAUUAACUGCAACAGAAGAAGAAAUGCGGAAAUCACCACGUGGAUGAUCUCUGUUAUGAAGUGUCGGAAAGAAAAGAUGAUGAACGUUGUUCAAAACAACAGGAGGAAGGCUUUUUUGAUCAUCAAAUUCUGAGUGACUUCAAUGACGAUUAAGAGGCGAUGUUUUGUGGAAGGGGUGAUCAUGUUCUGUGGAAGCUGUUGACAGGUGCCCCUGUCAUGCCUGAUGGGUUUCUGUAUGAAAUGCAGCAAGCCAGCAGGACUCGGCUGUCGGCCCAUUUCGCCAGCACAGAGCUGCUGGGGAAAUCUUUUUUCAAGGUGCCAACCUGAAUUGAUUCUUUUGUAAAGAGACCCUCUGUAACACUACUACCAAUCAGACGGCAAGUGCUCUCCAUCACCAGUUGUGCUUGGAAGCUAAAAGAAGUGGAACAAGGCUGUCUCGUGCGUUUGGACCAGAUCCUCCACUGCCCCACAGAGUAUAUCUAUAGACGAUUAACGAGAAUCUGUUUGCAAACACACAACACUGAAGAUGAAGUCGGCACUAAGCAACACAACUGUGGCCUGGCUUCAUUUGAAUUCCAGGAAGGCUUCAAGGAGCCGGUGCUUUGAGGACGGUGUGUUUACCAUGGCUUGACCACCUCGCCGGCUUCCCAAAGCAGAUUAAAGGAGAAAAGUGGAGCACUUUGAUGUUUUCCUUCCAUUUAUUUGAAUCAGGGCGCAUUGAACAACAUAUACAUAUGUAGGCGGCAGAUACAACAGUGCAGGGACAUUCAACGCAGCAAUGACUGUUAACUUAACCUAUUACGCCUUCUGAAGGACUCGAGGAGAGUUUUGCUUUUCAUUGCUGCACAGAAGCGACAGUGGGACAGGGAUAUUUGUCACAAACACUUUCAGGUGAGAUGUCUUAGAAAACAGGGCAGUGCGUCUGACGUGUACACACACAGACCAAAGAUUUAUAGCGUGUUUUGUGUCAAUGGCUCGUAAAUUGACACAAGCUGUAAAAUUAAUUGCUCUGAACUAUAAUGACAGGCACAAUUCUAUUAUAUGGAAAUAAAGGCAACAAUUUACAAUAAGGUUGCAUAUGUUAACAUUAGCAAGUGCAUUUAGAUGAACUAACAAUAGGCUAUCGUUAGAUUGUGUUCAACAGAACAUUGCCCCCUAUUGACUAUCAUGGAAGGAAAGAUACAAUGGUAGUCAA
Long non-coding RNA from Triplophysa dalaica, 1239 nucleotides. RefSeq lists it as uncharacterized. The transcript has 6 exons. Lineage: Eukaryota; Metazoa; Chordata; Actinopteri; Cypriniformes; Nemacheilidae. The record is from RefSeq and is a predicted model, not a curated record.